This 445-nucleotide ribosomal RNA is filed under the name Bacillus sp. IDA4981. RNAcentral describes it as "partial 16S ribosomal RNA". Lineage: Bacteria; Bacillati; Bacillota; Bacilli; Caryophanales; Bacillaceae. The record is from RNAcentral.
CCGGUACUUGUUCUUCCCUAACAACAGAGCUUUACGACCCGAAGCCUUCAUCUCUCACGCGGCGUUGCUCCAUCAGACUUUCGUCCAUUGUGGAAGAUUCCCUACUGCUGCCUCCCGUAGAGUCUGGGCCGUGUCUCAGUCCCAGUGUGGCCGAUCACCCUCUCAGGUCGGCUACGCAUCGUCGCCUUGGUGAGCCGUUACCUCACCAACUAGCUAAUGCGCCGCGGGCCCAUCUGUAAGUGUCAUNNNAAACCUUACUUNNNNUUUUUCCUCAUGAGANGAAAAGGAUUAUCCGGUAUUAGCACCGGUUUCCCGGUGUUAUCCCAGUCUUACANGCAGGUUGCCCACGUGUUACUCACCCGUCCGCCGCUAACCAACAAAAUGAAUCUCUUAAUUUUUAUNUAUAAUUGAAUNUAUUAGGGUAUNNUCCUAANUUUUGUUBUAA